Non-coding RNA from Capsicum annuum, 86 nucleotides. The record is from Rfam. NCBI's taxonomy places the organism in Eukaryota, Viridiplantae, Streptophyta, Magnoliopsida, Solanales, Solanaceae.
CAAGGCCAAUGAUGGAACAUAAUAAAUAUGCCUACAUUGUCUGAUCAUCAUAAAAGUUUGAUUGAACAACAUGAUCUGAGGCCUUG